AUAAUUACCUGGACGGGGUCUAUGUGCGAUCAAGAAGGCUCAUGGCCUAUAUCAAUGGUUCACAUUGCACAUAGUGAAUGUGUUGAUCUACCAUCUCCCUUGGGAGAGUGGACAUCAAAAUUUGUGUUAGAGGGGGUACGCGUUCGCGCGGCCGCUGC
Molecule: non-coding RNA, 158 nt
Organism: Triticum urartu
Lineage: Eukaryota; Viridiplantae; Streptophyta; Magnoliopsida; Poales; Poaceae
Source: Rfam